GCCAUGGAUGAAGAAGACUUGGUAGCUUUCAUAUUGAAUGGUUUAGAUGAAGAUUAUGAACCUGCUAUUUCUGGAUUGGUGACAAGAGUAGAACCUGUUACUUUGGCAAAAUUGUAUUCUGUGUUGUUGAAUUUUGAGA
Small nucleolar RNA from Phragmites australis (common reed), 139 nucleotides. RefSeq annotates it as small nucleolar RNA Z247. The record is from RefSeq and is a predicted model, not a curated record. Lineage: Eukaryota; Viridiplantae; Streptophyta; Magnoliopsida; Poales; Poaceae. The transcript has a single exon.